RNAcentral lists this ribosomal RNA (189 nucleotides) under Endoxyla mallochii. RNAcentral's name for it is "5.8S ribosomal RNA". The stretch from base 3 to 156 matches the Rfam family "5.8S ribosomal RNA". Rfam says of the family: 5.8S ribosomal RNA (5.8S rRNA) is a component of the large subunit of the eukaryotic ribosome. It is transcribed by RNA polymerase I as part of the 45S precursor that also contains 18S and 28S rRNA. Lineage: Eukaryota; Fungi; Ascomycota; Sordariomycetes; Boliniales; Boliniaceae. The record is from RNAcentral.
AAAACUUUCAACAACGGAUCUCUUGGCUCUGGCAUCGAUGAAGAACGCAGCGAAAUGCGAUAAGUAAUGUGAAUUGCAGAAUUCAGUGAACCAUCGAAUCUUUGAACGCACAUUGCGCCCGCCAGUAUUCUGGCGGGCAUGCCUGUCCGAGCGUCAUUUCGACCCCUCAAGCCCCGCUUGGUGUUGGGA